GAAUGCUGACAUAAGUAACGAUAAAGCGGGUGAAAAGCCCGCUCGCCGGAAGACCAAGGGUUCCUGUCCAACGUUAAUCGGGGCAGGGUGAGUCGACCCCUAAGGCGAGGCCGAAAGGCGUAGUCGAUGGGAAACGGGUUAAUAUUCCCGUACUUGGUGUUACUGCGAAGGGGGGACGGAGAAGGCUAUGUUGGCCGGGCGACGGUUGUCCCGGUUUAAGCGUGUAGGCUGGUUUUCCAGGCAAAUCCGGAAAAUCAAGGCUGAGGCGUGAUGACGAGGCACUACGGUGCUGAAGCAACAAAUGCCCUGCUUCCAGGAAAAGCCUCUAAGCAUCAGGUAACAUCAAAUCGUACCCCAAACCGACACAGGUGGUCAGGUAGAGAAUACCAAGGCGCUUGAGAGAACUCGGGUGAAGGAACUAGGCAAAAUGGUGCCGUAACUUCGGGAGAAGGCACGCUGACACGUAGGUGAAGUGAUUUACUCAUGGAGCUGAAGUCAGUCGAAGAUACCAGCUGGCUGCAACUGUUUAUUAAAAACACAGCACUGUGCAAACACGAAAGUGGACGUAUACGGUGUGACGCCUGCCCGGUGCCGGAAGGUUAAUUGAUGGGGUCAGCGCAAGCGAAGCUCCUGAUCGAAGCCCCGGUAAACGGCGGCCGUAACUAUAACGGUCCUAAGGUAGCGAAAUUCCUUGUCGGGUAAGUUCCGACCUGCACGAAUGGCGUAAUGAUGGCCAGGCUGUCUCCACCCGAGACUCAGUGAAAUUGAACUCGCUGUGAAGAUGCAGUGUACCCGCGGCAAGACGGAAAGACCCCGUGAACCUUUACUAUAGCUUGACACUGAACAUUGAGCCUUGAUGUGUAGGAUAGGUGGGAGGCUUUGAAGUGUGGACGCCAGUCUGCAUGGAGCCGACCUUGAAAUACCACCCUUUAAUGUUUGAUGUUCUAACGUGGACCCGUUACCCGGGUUGCGGACAGUGUCUGGUGGGUAGUUUGACUGGGGCGGUCUCCUCCUAAAGAGUAACGGAGGAGCACGAAGGUUGGCUAAUCCUGGUCGGACAUCAGGAGGUUAGUGCAAUGGCAUAAGCCAGCUUGACUGCGAGCGUGACGGCGCGAGCAGGUGCGAAAGCAGGUCAUAGUGAUCCGGUGGUUCUGAAUGGAAGGGCCAUCGCUCAACGGAUAAAAGGUACUCCGGGGAUAACAGGCUGAUACCGCCCAAGAGUUCAUAUCGACGGCGGUGUUUGGCACCUCGAUGUCGGCUCAUCACAUCCUGGGGCUGAAGUAGGUCCCAAGGGUAUGGCUGUUCGCCAUUUAAAGUGGUACGCGAGCUGGGUUUAGAACGUCGUGAGACAGUUCGGUCCCUAUCUGCCGUGGGCGCUGGAGAACUGAGGGGGGCUGCUCCUAGUACGAGAGGACCGGAGUGGACGCAUCACUGGUGUUCGGGUUGUCAUGCCAAUGGCACUGCCCGGUAGCUAAAUGCGGAAGAGAUAAGUGCUGAAAGCAUCUAAGCACGAAACUUGCCCCGAGAUGAGUUCUCCCUGAGACUUAGAGUCUCCUGAAGGAACGUUGAAGACGACGACGUUGAUAGGCCGGGUGUGUAAGCGCAGCGAUGCGUUGAGCUAACCGGUACUAAUGAACCGUGAGGCUUAACCUUACAACGCCGAAG
Molecule: ribosomal RNA, 1665 nt
Filed under: Salmonella enterica subsp. enterica serovar Enteritidis
Lineage: Bacteria; Pseudomonadati; Pseudomonadota; Gammaproteobacteria; Enterobacterales; Enterobacteriaceae
Description: partial 23S ribosomal RNA
Rfam family: Bacterial large subunit ribosomal RNA
Source: RNAcentral